AGUGAACGCUGGCGGUUGGCCUAACACAUGCAAGUCGAACGGCAGCACAGUAAGAGCUUGCUCUUACGGGUGGCGAGUGGCGGACGGGUGAGGAAUACAUCGGAAUCUACUUUUUCGUGGGGGAUAACGUAGGGAAACUUACGCUAAUACCGCAUACGACCUACGGGUGAAAGCAGGGGAUCUUCGGACCUUGCGCGAUUGAAUGAGCCGAUGUCGGAUUAGCUAGUUGGCGGGGUAAAGGCCCACCAAGGCGACGAUCCGUAGCUGGUCUGAGAGGAUGAUCAGCCACACUGGAACUGAGACACGGUCCAGACUCCUACGGGAGGCAGCAGUGGGGAAUAUUGGACAAUGGGCGCAAGCCUGAUCCAGCCAUACCGCGUGGGUGAAGAAGGCCUUCGGGUUGUAAAGCCCUUUUGUUGGGAAAGAAAAGCAGCAGGUUAAUACCCCGCUGUUCUGACGGUACCCAAAGAAUAAGCACCGGCCAACUUCGUG
Molecule: ribosomal RNA, 492 nt
Filed under: uncultured bacterium
Lineage: Bacteria
Description: partial 16S ribosomal RNA
Rfam family: Bacterial small subunit ribosomal RNA
Source: RNAcentral